RNAcentral lists this ribosomal RNA (140 nucleotides) under uncultured eukaryote. RNAcentral's name for it is "partial 18S ribosomal RNA". It matches the Rfam family "Eukaryotic small subunit ribosomal RNA", at positions 1299 to 1458 of the family's 1831-position model. The record is from RNAcentral.
UGGUGGAGUGAUUUGUCUGGUUAAUUCCGAUAACGAACGAGACCUUAACCUGCUAAAUAGCUAGGCUGCUUCUAAAGUGGUCGUCAGCUUCUUAGAGGGACUGUUGCGCGAUUAGCCAACGGAAGUUUGAGGCAAUAACA